Molecule: non-coding RNA, 118 nt
Organism: Danio rerio (zebrafish)
Lineage: Eukaryota; Metazoa; Chordata; Actinopteri; Cypriniformes; Danionidae
Source: RefSeq, a predicted model, not a curated record
GAAGAUGUGAAGAUUGAAGAAACAUUCACAGUCAAACAGGAAGAUCUGCAGGAACAAACAGACCUAAUUGAAGAGAAUGAGGGCAGUAAAGAGGAGAAACAUUAUGUCAAAAUUGAGG